CCUCCUCCAUGUUGCUGUAAGGACUGUGUUAAUGAGGUAUCCUCCUCCAUGUUGCUGUAAGGACUGUGUUAAUGAGGUAUCCUCCUCCGUGUUGCUGUAAGGACUGUGUUAAUGAGGUAUCCUCCUCCGUGUUGCUGUAAGGACUGUGUUAAUGAGGUAUCCUCAUCCGUGUUGCUGUAAGGACUGUGUUAAUGAGGUAUCCUCCUCCAUGUUGCUGUAAGGACUGUGUUAAUGAGGUAUCCUCCUCCAUGUUGCUGUAAGGACUGUGUUAAUGAGGUAUCCUCCUCCGUGUUGCUGUAAGGACUGUGUUAAUGAGGUAUCCUCUUCUGUGUUGCUGUAAGGACUGUGUUAAUGAGGUAUCCUCCUCCAUGUUGCUGUAAGGACUGUGUUAAUGAGGUAUCCUCCAUGUUGCUGUAAGGACUGUGUUAAUGAUGUAUCCUCCUCUGUGUUGCUGUAAGGACUGUGUUAAUGAGGUAUCCUCAUCUCUCUGCAGGGUGUUUCCUCUCUGUAGUUCUUCAAAUGACUGAAUAGGGUGUUGGGGGGUCCUUGGGAGGACAUUGGAC
This is a long non-coding RNA of Oncorhynchus keta (chum salmon), 563 nucleotides long. RefSeq lists it as uncharacterized. Lineage: Eukaryota; Metazoa; Chordata; Actinopteri; Salmoniformes; Salmonidae. The record is from RefSeq and is a predicted model, not a curated record. The transcript is spliced from 3 exons.